GAAUGUACCUCAGUGGCAGAGCACUUGCCUAGCAUGUGUGAGGUCCUGGAUUCAAUCCCCAGCACA
RNAcentral lists this transfer RNA (66 nucleotides) under Marmota monax (woodchuck). Its description in RNAcentral is "tRNA.Ala". Lineage: Eukaryota; Metazoa; Chordata; Mammalia; Rodentia; Sciuridae. The record is from RNAcentral.